GGGCCUUUAGCUCAGUCGGUUAGAGCAGCUGACUCAUAAUCAGCAGGUCGUCAGUUCAAGCCUGACAGGGCCCA
RNAcentral lists this transfer RNA (74 nucleotides) under Caudoviricetes sp. RNAcentral's name for it is "tRNA-Met". It matches the Rfam family "tRNA". From Rfam's summary of the family: Transfer RNA (tRNA) molecules are approximately 80 nucleotides in length. Their secondary structure includes four short double-helical elements and three loops (D, anti-codon, and T loops). The record is from RNAcentral. Lineage: Duplodnaviria; Heunggongvirae; Uroviricota; Caudoviricetes.